RNAcentral lists this ribosomal RNA (465 nucleotides) under Vreelandella stevensii. Its description in RNAcentral is "partial 16S ribosomal RNA". It matches the Rfam family "Bacterial small subunit ribosomal RNA", at positions 338 to 795 of the family's 1533-position model. Lineage: Bacteria; Pseudomonadati; Pseudomonadota; Gammaproteobacteria; Oceanospirillales; Halomonadaceae. The record is from RNAcentral.
CCUACGGGAGGCAGCAGUGGGGAAUAUUGGACAAUGGGGGGAACCCUGAUCCAGCCAUGCCGCGUGUGUGAAGAAGGCCCUCGGGUUGUAAAGCACUUUCAGUGAGGAAGAACGCCUGGUGGUUAAUACCCAUCAGGAAAGACAUCACUCACAGAAGAAGCACCGGCUAACUCCGUGCCAGCAGCCGCGGUAAUACGGAGGGUGCGAGCGUUAAUCGGAAUUACUGGGCGUAAAGCGCGCGUAGGUGGCUUGAUAAGCCGGUUGUGAAAGCCCCGGGCUCAACCUGGGAACGGCAUCCGGAACUGUCAAGCUAGAGUGCAGGAGAGGAAGGUAGAAUUCCCGGUGUAGCGGUGAAAUGCGUAGAGAUCGGGAGGAAUACCAGUGGCGAAGGCGGCCUUCUGGACUGACACUGACACUGAGGUGCGAAAGCGUGGGGAGCAAACAGGAUUAGAUACCCUAGUAGUC